UGGGGGAUAUUGCGCAAUGGGGGCAACCCUGACGCAGCAACGCCGCGUGAAGGAUGAAGGUUUUCGGAUUGUAAACUUCUUUUAUUAAGGACGAAACUUGACGGUACUUAAUGAAUAAGCUCCGGCUAACUACGUGCCAGCAGCCGCGGUAAUACGUAGGGAGCAAGCGUUGUCCGGAUUUACUGGGUGUAAAGGGUGCGUAGGCGGCUUUGCAAGUCAGAUGUGAAAUCUAUGGGCCCAACCCAUAAACUGCAUUUGAAACUGUAGAGCUUGAGUGAAGUAGAGGCAGGCGGAAUUCCCCGUGUAGCGGUGAAAUGCGUAGAGAUGGGGAGGAACACCAGUGGCGAAGGCGGCCUGCUGGGCUUUAACUGACGCUGAGGCACGAAAGCGUGGGUAGCAAACAGGAUUAGAUACCCUGGUAGUCCACGCUGUAAACGAUGAUUACUAGGUGUGGGGGGUCUGACCCCUUCCGUGCCGGAGUUAACACAAUAAGUAAUCCACCUGGGGAGUACGGCCGCAAGGUUGAAACUCAAAGGAAUUGACGGGGGCCCGCACAAGCAGUGGAGUAUGUGGUUUAAUUCGAAGCAACGCGAAGAACCUUACCAGGUCUUGACAUCCAACUAACGAAGUAGAGAUACAUUAGGUGCCCUUCGGGGAAAGUUGAGACAGGUGGUGCAUGGUUGUCGUCAGCUCGUGUCGUGAGAUGUUGGGUUAAGUCCCGCAACGAGCGCAACCCUUGCUAUUAGUUGCUACGCAAGAGCACUCUAAUAGGACUGCCGUUGACAAAACGGAGGAAGGUGGGGACGACGUCAAAUCAUCAUGCCCCUUAUGACCUGGGCUACACACGUACUACAAUGGAUGUUAACAGAGGGAAGCAAGACAGCGAUGUGGAGCAAACCCCUAAAAACAUUCUCAGUUCAGAUUGCAGGCUGCAACCCGCCUGCAUGAAGAUGGAAUUGCUAGUAAUCGCGGAUCAGCAUGCCGCGGUGAAUACGUUCCC
This 1000-nucleotide ribosomal RNA is filed under the name uncultured bacterium. Its description in RNAcentral is "bacterial SSU rRNA". It matches the Rfam family "Bacterial small subunit ribosomal RNA", at positions 355 to 1375 of the family's 1533-position model. The record is from RNAcentral. RNAcentral also lists the same sequence under 1 other name.